UUCCAAGUGUCUAUUUCCUAAGCUAUGGA
RNAcentral lists this non-coding RNA (29 nucleotides) under Mus musculus (house mouse). The record is from RNAcentral. Lineage: Eukaryota; Metazoa; Chordata; Mammalia; Rodentia; Muridae.